RNAcentral lists this long non-coding RNA (389 nucleotides) under Vigna radiata. RNAcentral describes it as "long non-coding RNA (VRAD_LNC011964)". The record is from RNAcentral. Lineage: Eukaryota; Viridiplantae; Streptophyta; Magnoliopsida; Fabales; Fabaceae.
AAACUCCCUGGAUCUUGCAGUUUAGGAGGUAACAUCUUCUGUAUGACUGCACUAUAAUUACCUUGCACCUCAAUAGUUUCCUUCUCAAUAUACUUUCUUUUCUUCAUGAGAAGUUCUUUCAAGAAUUUCGCAUAUGAUGGCAUUUGCUGAAGUGCCUCAGAAAACCGUAUGGUGAUUUCCAACUUCUUAAAAAUCUCCAUAAAUCGCUCAAACUGUUUUUCUUUUUCCUUCCUUGAAUAUGUCUUAGGAUAAGGAAGGGGUUUUUCAAUCUCUCUUUCUUUUAAUUUUUCAACCUCUUCUUUCUCUAUUUCUCCCUCAACUCUCAUUUUUUCACUCAUUCCACUUUCCUCUUCCUUUCUUUCCUCCCUCUGAUCACUCUUAUUUUCUUC